RNAcentral lists this ribosomal RNA (907 nucleotides) under uncultured bacterium. RNAcentral describes it as "bacterial SSU rRNA". It matches the Rfam family "Bacterial small subunit ribosomal RNA", at positions 506 to 1413 of the family's 1533-position model. The record is from RNAcentral.
UGCCAGCAGCCGCGGUAAUACGUAGGUGGCAAGCGUUGUCCGGAUUUAUUGGGCGUAAAGCGAGCGCAGGCGGUGAUUUAAGUCUGAUGGAAAGCCCCCAGCUCAACUGGGGAGGGUCAUUGGAAACUGGAUCACUUGAGUGCAGAAGAGGAGAGUGGAAUUCCAUGUGUAGCGGUGAAAUGCGUAGAUAUAUGGAGGAACACCAGUGGCGAAGGCGGCUCUCUGGUCUGUAACUGACGCUGAGGCUCGAAAGCGUGGGUAGCAAACAGGAUUAGAUACCCUGGUAGUCCACGCCGUAAACGAUGAGUGCUAAGUGUUGGAGGGUUUCCGCCCUUCAGUGCUGCAGUUAACGCAUUAAGCACUCCGCCUGGGGAGUACGACCGCAAGGUUGAAACUCAAAGGAAUUGACGGGGGCCCGCACAAGCGGUGGAGCAUGUGGUUUAAUUCAAAGCAACGCGAAGAACCUUACCAGGUCUUGACAUCCUUUGACCGCCCUAGAGAUAGGGUUUCCCCUUCGGGGGCAAAGUGACAGGUGGUGCAUGGUUGUCGUCAGCUCGUGUCGUGAGAUGUUGGGUUAAGUCCCGUAACGAGCGCAACCCUUAUUGUUAGUUGCCAGCAUUGAGUUGGGCACUCUAGCAAGACUGCCGGUGACAAACCGGAGGAAGGCGGGGAUGACGUCAAAUCAUCAUGCCCCUUAUGACCUGGGCUACACACGUGCUACAAUGGGAAGUACAACGAGCAAGCCAAGCCGCAAGGCCUAGCGAAUCUCUGAAAGCUUCUCUCAGUUCGGAUUGCAGGCUGCAACUCGCCUGCACGAAGCCGGAAUCGCUAGUAAUCGCGGAUCAGCAUGCCGCGGUGAAUCCGUUCCCGGGCCUUGUACACACCGCCCGUCACACCACGAGAGCUU